GUCUUCCCGCUUCCUCCAUGCGCCGGCGUUUUCCCUUCUCCUCCCGACGUCGGCGUCUUCUUUCUGUGUCAUCCUUUCACCCCCGCGGCCAGCGUCUUCUCCCCCUUCGCUUCGCUGCAGCCGCCCCAGCAACCCUCUCCCGUACCUCCUCCUCCCUCUCCUUCUCGUCGGAUCCUUCAUCCUUGCCCCCCUCCCAACUGACAGCAACCCCCUCUUCAUCCUCCUCCUUCUACGUAAAUUGUUUUAUUAAUAUAGAUUUGAACAAGCAUUAUUUGGUCCUUUAAAUGAAUACUAUGUUUCUUUUUUUGUUUUAGCGAUUAUAUCUAUUAAUCAUGAUGUAUACUUUUAAAAUUUUAAGAAGCAUCUCUCUUCACUCGGGCCAGCGUCUCGGGCGUUUUGAUACCUUGGCGGCGUUUUAACACCUUGGCGUCGUUUAAUGUCUGUCGACCUCGAGCACACUGCUAGAGAAACAACUUGGUUCACAUGUUUGGUUCCAUUUAAUUAUUCGGACCCAUGCAUGUUGCCAAACUUUGUCGAUGUUAGUUUUCAUGCUUGGUCCUUUUAUGUGCAUAUUUGAAUUCAUCUGAACCAAAUUGAGCACAUCACAGCUCCACAAAAAAUCAUUGAAUUUGAGCUGCAUUGGUUAUAUAUGUAUUCUAAAAAUGUUAUGAGAUUCAAGUGAGAUUGUCAUGAUUCAAUUUUAACCUAAACAUGUUUCAGCUGCAUUCCCUCACAUCAAGUUCUAUGCUUAAACUAACCUGUCCGUGAGUCCCUCAUGCAUAAAUGUCUGCCUGCAUGUACACGUUUGAUUGCAUGCCAUUAUUUUAUUAUAUCAAUCUUUUGAUCCCAUUAUUAAUUUUUUGUUGCUUACCACAUAAGUCGGUCGGUUCUCAAAUGGUUAUGAAUGCCAAAUAAGUUUGUAAUAUGACUUUUGAUUAUCGUUACCUAUUUGUUGCUCAGACAUAAUAAUACAUGUGCAAUUUAGUUAUCAGAUAAAACCACGCACAUGGGAGCAUUGCACAUAUUUCCUGUCUGUUUUUGGCUCUUGUGGUAACUUCAUCAAAUGCGUGCUGAUUCUGGUGUCUUGCAUUGAACCACAGUAAUGAAUUGUUGGACCUCCUUUCGCAUGUAUACUAAUUAUACAUACAGAAUGCAUUUAUAUAUUCAAUUUUGAGGCUAAGAGAUUGUCUAUAUUAAUGGAUUUGGAGAGGGCAGUUAGGUACUAGAAGCUAUUAGGACCUGUCACUGUCUCUUAAUGCUAUCCUCUGUCACUAAAAGUACAAGCUGAGUGAACAAUUAGAAUGUGACAUGAUUUCCAAACCCCAAAAUAGACCCAAAAUCUCAAUGUGUUUGGUUAGGUAUAACCUUACAUCUUUAUGUCGGCAUAAUGUGGUCUCCUCUGCAGGCUGAUAGUAACUCUCUUGGCAACUUGAUACAUGUUUGUACAUCAAAGCAUAUCGGUGUGCUUAUAUUUGAAUUACCAUUCUUGUAUUUAUACUAGUAGCAAUAGAAAAACAUUUAAAUGUUCUUAAUUCAACCACAGGUGUUUUCUUACACAGAGUUCAUUGACGCAAAAGAUGCAUAUAGCUGAUCAUGAAUAGUUACAUUAUGACUUUUAUUGUUGUUGUGCUUGUUUGCACUUGCUGGUUUUAUUGGAAAAUUCUCACUGAUCUAGGCUAUGUUGGUGAAACUUCUCAAUAAGAAAUAUUUUUUUCUUUAUUAAUGACAUCAAGAUAUUUUCUAAUACUGUAGCUGAAGCUAUUUGCACGAGCAGUCUUUCUAUAAAAUUAAGUUCCUUUAUCAACAUAGAACCAAAUAAACUAGUAGCAUUUCUUGAUCAAGGCAGCUUUCUUACCUCUUGGUUCAUUUUUCAGAAAAUUUGUUGCCUUUCUCAGGUCUUUCAUCGAAGUUGUAAUUUUUUGUCAAGUUGUAUUAACAAUGGCAUCUUUAGCAUGUUGAACCUCACAGGUAACUUUUUUGUUAAUUUCUUAAACAGUGUAUUUUCUAGUUACCUGUCUUUCUAGACUUGUAACUAGGUCAUCUCUUUACAUUCAUGAUGAAAAGGUUCAAUUAUUCUGCAAGUGCUCACUUGAAAUGUUUCAGGUUUUAGUUGUAGUAGGACAUUAGUGAAUCUGAUGUUAGAUAAAACAGUAUGCAUCUUUGACUUAGUCUGAAUUCUGAAGUACCCCUUGCAAGUCAUUGACUGAUGUUCAACCUAUUAGUACAAACUUGAAUAUCAUCCAUAUAUGAUCAACGUAAUGAAUGCCAUUGCCACUCUUAUGCAGCAUGUUUGAUGAAGAUACAUUUGAUAUGAUUUUCUAAUUGCUGCUGGGAUAUAGUGUGCUUCACAGUUUCUAAAGCUCCUAACUACAAUAGAGAAAUAAUGGAAGGUAGUGUCAGUGCGCAUGUGUCACAUCAAGCCAUUGUUUCAGUGGUGUAGAAUUGCAAGGAUGGAAGUGUGAUAAUAAGUAAAUUAUCCAAGGUAUUCUUAAUCAACUCUCAUACACAAUUUAGAGAUUUAUUUCUGAAAGAAAUGGCUUAUGGAAACUGAAUGCAGGUGGAUUAACAUGAGUGGUAGAGGAAUGUCGUCGGAUCAGAUGAUUAGUUGAAAGUUUUCAACUUCCUUCUGGUUGGAAGCAGAUACAGAAAAUAUAUAUAGUUUUGGUGCCCUCGAUUUGAGGUAGAAGAGGAAUCUGAACAUAGAGCAUCCAGCAAUAAGACUACUUUUCUUGUAUUUUUCUGCAAACAGUACGUGAUACUGCUUCAAAAGAUCAUGUUUUUGGUGCAAAAGAGGCUCUUUUGCUAUCUGCCAAGUAACAAGUCCACUAUCCAUCUUUCCUCCUAUCAACUUUGCGGUCUGUUUAACUUCUCCACUGCUAAAGACCAAAGUUCAGAGCAUAGUUCCAACUUUAUAGUGGUCGACUCCCUUCAUUCAUGUGAACUUUCCUCAGAGAAGGCUGCAAAAAAAGCCAAGUAUCACACCUGUCACAAAAAUUCUUCGAGUCUUUCCAUUGAGUUCUUUAAGCAGAGCGGUUGGAGUGAUGCACAAGUCAUGAAACUUAUCCGGAAGUCACCGCUGUUGCUGCGUACUAAGGUAGAGACUGCCCUGAAGCCCAGAAUGAGAUCUUUGAAGGACAUGGGAUUUUCUGACACUGAAAUAGUUCAGCUGGUUUCAUCAUGUCCAUCUGUACUCCUUUUACGUGAUAUCCAACCAAAGAUCGACUUCUGGAGGUCACUACUUGGUUCUAAUGAGAGGUUACUGAAUGCCUCUAGGAGGAACAUGUUUCUACUUGGUUCUAGCAUGGAUCGGAAGAUAGAACCUAAUGUAUCUCUCUUAAGGGAAUGUGGCAUCAGUGACAAACGCAUCGUGUAUAUGGUGAUGACAACGCCGGCCAUUAUGGGUCGAUCAAACAAAUAUAUGAAGGAAGCUAUCAAAUUAGUUAAGGAGUUGGGUGUGCCAUGUAACUGUAGAAUGUUCCCUUAUGCACUUAGUAUGGUCACCGGCAUGAGCCGAUCCAGGUUUUAUGAUACCUUUGCAACCCUGAUGAACUUUGGGUUCUCCCUGCAAGACAUCAUAGCUGCAUUCAGGAAGCAUCCAACCAUUUGGUAUUUGUCGAAGAAGAACAUAUGUGACAAGAUGACUUUCCUGUUGAAGGAAGCUGGUUGUGAGCUGACAUAUAUCAUUUCCCAUCCUGUGAUUCUUGCAUACAGCUUGGAGAAGAGGUUGAAACCUCGAUAUGCAAUUCUGAAUUUUCUUGAGCAGAAUAAAUUGCUGGAUAAAGUAUAUAGCCUGAUGUCCGUGAUAAUGCUAUCGGAAAAGAAGUUCCAAAAUAAAUUUCUUUUCCUGCUUCGCGAGGAGAAAUCUAUUGCUCUAUAUGAUUCCUAUUUGAAAUCUGUUGCUCAAUAGGAUUCCUAUGUUGCUGCUGGGCAUGGAAAGCACCAUGUUGUUUGGGAAAAUUAGGAUUGCAUGUGCUUCCUCAGACAAAGUGUCAACUUAUUGCACACUUAUUUAAUCAUGUUAAAUUUGUGACAAUUUAAAUUCUCCAAGGAGCUUCUUUUCUUUUAUUCUUUGGUACAACAAAAGAUACGGAUUCUUUUAUGCAGAAAUAUAGUGAACCAACGGGGAGAAGUCUUACUUAAGAAAGAUAUAAAGGUAACUAAAAUGUUUCAACUCUGUCAGCUAUCUGUGUCAACUUGGCAUCAGUCGUAUUAAUUUAGAUGAUUAAGAACUUGUUAAUUAUGUGAGUAUGAAUAGGGACUAAUAUAUGAUAGUAAAGAGUUAAUUGUGUGAGGGCUUUCUUUGUCAGAAUCCCAUCACCUCUCCACCGGCUCUAAAUUACAUCUCUAUUUAUAUGGAAUGAAACCUCUAUUGUUACAUGUUGUUAAUCAUGCACUAAUAUAUGAUAGUUAAGUGUGAUUUAUUGAAGAUAUCGAUUUACUAUAUACUAUUGUUGAAAAAUGAACCCACGAGAGUAAUACCUUUCGAUUUAUUGUUGGAGCGCACUAACGAAUAUUCAGUUAUGCAAAGAUGAUUAUUAUAAUAUGAUGAUUGAAUUUUGUGUAUACUAUGGUACAUUAGUGCAUGUGGCAAUUAUGAGAUUUAUUAGAUAGUAUCAACAUGCACUAUUGUAAGAGGCCCCGUGAGAUCAACGUGCACUAUUGUGAGAUUUAUUAUAUAGUAUCAACUGUCACCUCUCUCUCCCUCUCUCUCUCUCUUUCUCAGCCCGUGACUGCAUGCAUGCAUCCCAAUAUUCGUUCUAGUCAUCGUUCUAGUCAUAUCCAGACAUACUCACACAUUAAGAAUUUAAGAGUCAUCGGUUCAUCUCAAGCUUGCUUCUUAAUGUUCAAUUUAAUGCACUAAGCAAUAGAUAUGGUUUAAGGUAACAACACUCUCUCGAGUGAAGUGAACGGGUCUCGGCGCCCCCCUGAUUCAAAUCAGAGAGGACUAUAUUGGAUCUGAGCACAACAUAAGUCACUGGAUCUGGUUCGAUGGAACCAAAUGAAGGACUCUCCUCUCUCACACACAACUAUAUCAAUGGCCACGCGUCCAAUGAGAAGACUCGUGGAAACCUAAUCAGCCACCGGCGGCACCGUCUUCCUCUCCAUCCGCGAAUGGCGGCGGCAGCAAUGUCUUCCUCAGCGGGCUCAUCGUUGGUAUCUUUCUCCUCCUCCUCCUCCUCCUCAUCCUUUGCCGUCGCCCACUCUGCCCCAACCGCCUCCCUCCAUCUUCCCGCCCCCACCUUCGCCGUAGCCCCCCCGCGACCGGCGUCUGCCCCUGCCUCUUCCUUUCCCCUCGUCGUAGCCGUCUUACCCCUUCCUUCCUGCGCCGGCGUUUUCCCUUCUCCUCCCUACGUCGGCGUCUUCUUUCAUUGUAUCAUCCUUUCACCCCCGCAGCGUCUUCUCCCCCCUUCGCUUCGCUGCAGCCGCUUGAUAAGACCCUAAGGUUUUAUCAGGGAAAAAAUUGGGAGAAAAGGGGACGAUCACUUCGAGAUGAUCGGCCUCCUUGAUCACUUCGAGGGGAUCGUCGACGGGAACUUGUCUUCGUGCCCGGCACCCAGUGUGCAGCUGUUUGUUCAACAUUCUAAAGUUUUUGUUUUUCUCAUUUAUCUCUUUUCUCUUAUGCACGCAAAGUGUUCGCUGAAUGGCUUUUAAAGCUUUUCUUUUUGUGGGACGUCGGGACUUGUCCGUUGUUUAUUCUUCGAACUAAUCAACUUUUUCUUAUGCACGCAAGGUGUUCGCUGACCUUUGCGGACACAUAUCACAAGGGCACGUCAUGACUUUGGCAAUCCCAAUUAAGUCCAAGAAGUUGACGCAACGGCGCUUUGCGACUUAGGCAACUCAAGCCAAAUUUGUGUCUUGGCCGCAAGGGUGCCUCACGACUUAGGCAAUUCCAGUUAAGUCCGUGACAAGGCGACGGUGAAGAAGGAGGCAACGAGGGUCACGGUUGGGAUGUGUUGGCCGGGAGCAGUGGCGGUGGCGGUUGCUGGCCGAAGAUGCAAGGCUGACCCUGUUUUGGUCGCCGCGAGGAGGAGAGGUCGAGCGGCUGCGGUUGCGAUUGCGACCCAAGGGGGGGCGGGCGACGGUGGAGAAGGAGGCAGCGAGGUUCACGACUGGGAGGUGGGCGACGGUCAUCGUUGGCCGGGAACUUGCUGUGGUGGAGAGGGGAAAGAGGGAUGCUCUGUUUCUAUCGCACCACAGCAGGAGCCACUGGCGAUGUCGAAGGAUCGCGAGCGGUUGAGGAGAAGGCUGGCAACGGUGGUGGCUCGGGUGGGAGGUGACGGGCGACGGUGGACUCUGGCCGGGGAGCGGGGCUGUGGUGGGAUGGGACAUUGGCAGCGUCGUCUCCUGGCAGCGGUGGUGGCUUGGGUGGGAGGCAACAGGCGAUGGUGGACUCCGGCCGGGAAGCAGGGCGGUGGUGGUAGCGGCGGUGGGGUUGGUUGGAAGUAGGGAAAGUAUGAGCCCUUUCCACCAGCGACAGUGGUGGAGGAGAGGGGAAGCAGGGGUUCUCGGUUGUGCGUGGCUGCGCCCCCUUUUUUUUUUUUUAUGAUAACUACAACGAGGACUCCGAGGAUCGCUGCUCUGAUACCAAAUGAUAAGACCCUAGGGUUUUAUUAUGGAAAAAAAGGGAGAAAAGGGGAUGAUCACUUCGAGGGGAUCGACCUCCUAGGGUUUGUCAAAAGACUUAAUAAUAUUUCAUUGUCUCCGAAAAGAAACGAUUACAUCAUUAUUUAUAGAGUUCCACUUAGAAUCCAUCACGACUUGGACUCUUAAUAAUAAAUAAAUAUUAAAUAAAUUUCUAUCCGAUUCUAACUGAAUUAAACAUACUCAAUAAACAUUAUUCAAAAGUUUAGAAAAUAAAAAGGAUCCUAACAUCGCCCCAGCAACCCAACCGACAUUGACAACCAUUCUAACCCGUACCUCCUCCUCCUCCUCGGAUCCUUCAUCCUUGACCCCCUCCCAACUGACAACAACCCCCUCUUCAUCCUCCUCCUUCUAUGUAAAUUGUUUUAUUAAUAUAGAUUUGAACAAGUAUUAUUUGGUCCUUUAAAUGAUUACCAUGUUUCUUUUUUUGUUUUAGCGAUUAUAUCUAUUAAUCAUGAUAUAUACUUUUAAAAUUUUAAGAAGCAUCUCUCUUCACUUGGGCCAGCGCCUAGCCAAGCACCUAGCAUCUCAGGCGUUUUGACACUUUGGCGUCGUUUAGUGUCUCUCACCCGCGACCACACUGCUAUAGCACAACUUGGUUCACUUGUUUGGUUCCAUUUAAUUAUUCAGACCCAUGCAUGUUGCCACACUUGGUUGAUGUUAGUUUUCAUGCUUGGUCCUUUAUGUGCAUGUUUGAAUUCAUCUGAACCAAAUUGAGCACAUCACAGCUCCACAAAAAAAUCAUUGGAUUUGAGCUGCAUUGGUUAUAUAUGUAUUCUAAAAAUGUUAUGAGAUUCAAGUGAGAUUGUCUUGAUUCAAUUUUAACCUAAACAUGUUUCAGCUGCAUUCCCUCGCAACAAGUUCUAUGCAUAAACUAACCUGUCCAUGAGUCCCUCAUGCAUAAUGUCUGCCUGCAUAUACAUGUUUGAUUGCAUGCCAUUAUCUUAUUGUAUCAAUCUUUUGAUCCUAUUAUUAUUUUUUUUGUUGCUUACCACAUAAGUCGGUUGGUUCUAAAAUGGUUAUGAAUGGCAAAGAAGUUUGUAAUAUGACUUUUGUUUAUCGUUACCUAUUUGUUGCUCAGACAUAAUAAUAUAUGUGCAAUUUAGUUAUCAGAUAGAACCACACACAUGGGAACAUUGCACAUAUUUCUUGUCUGUUUUUGGCUCUUGUGGUAACUUCAUCACAUAAGUGCUGAUUCCGGUGUCUUGCAUUGAACCACAGUAAUGAAUUGCUGGACCUCCUUUCGCAUGUAUUUACUAAUUAUGCAUACAGAAUGCAUUUAUAUAUUUGAUUUUGUGGCUAACGGAUUGUCUAUAUUAAUGGGAUUUGGAGAGGGCAGUUAGGUACUAGAAGCUAUUAGGAGCUGUCACUGUAUCUUCAUGCUAUCCUCUUCACAUCGAAGCUCUCAUUUUUCUUUUUUGUUGUUGUACAUGCCUCUGGAUCGUUCAUCAAUCAAUGUGAUUUUGUAUUUUGCUGUGCUUAGAUUUUAUUUUUCAUUUUUUUCUUCUUUUCAUUUCUUUGCUAUGAGAUGGUAGAUUUGUGCCUUGGCGGUCAUUAUAAACUGUGGUUUCAUUUUACAUUUUGAAACAUUAGUCAUUUUGGCAUCCAAAAUAAUUUUAUGUGACAUUUCAAAUUUCCUAUGACAUCAAUUACUUUGUUUUGUUCUUGAACAUUGGUACAGUGACAUGGUAUAAGUGAUCUUUUAUACAUGCUCAUUUGGUGAUCAUUGUAACUCGUAAAGGAGGUCAUGAAAAUAAUUUUGACUAAUAUUAGUUUAAAUUUACUUUACUUGAUUGUGGCCCAGAUAAUGUAAUCAAAUGUGGUGCUCGGCAUUUGAAAAUUUUCUUAUUAUACAAUAUCUCCAAUGAUGCGUAUUUAGUGACAACUGAAUUAAUUUCUGGCUCUUGGAUAUGAGCUGGUUCAGAACUGACCUUAGAUGGUGAAUUUUUCAAUCUCAGAUGUUCAAUGUUCUGAAAAUGCAUGCAUGUCAUUUACGAGCAUUUACUUUGGAGAAACAGCAAGCAACAACAUGCAAGUUAAAUACUGUUUAUUAAGAUGGACAGCAGGAGAAGUGCUGCUUUUAGAGAUAGAAAAGAGAAUUGGAAAGUUUUUUGACAAAAAAAAAGCUUGGAAAAGAUUGAACAAGAGAUAGCAGAGACUGUAAUUGUGUUACUGGCCAAAGAAAAUUAUAUUCAUUUGUCAAUAGAAUCAUGCAUACGUCUGGUGAUUCCUCAUGUGAAGGAUUUUAUUUAUAAAUAUAUCUGAGAUAGUACUAAUCUGAUUAGGUUUCCCAAAAGAAGCCCUCUAAACAGCAGCUGCUUGCUUUGAUAAAAGUGUUUGGUUCAUCAAACCUCUUAGUUUCCUUAUUAUGCCUACCACCACAAUUUCCUUUUCAAACACACCAAAACAUUUCAACAAUCAUCAAAACCCCAAAUGGUUCAAAGGACUUGACUCUCACUAAAAGUACAAGCUGAGCAAACAAUUAGAAUGUGACUUGAUUUCCAAACCCCAAAGUAGACCCAAAAUUUCAAUGUGUUUGGUUAGGUGUAACCUUACAUCUUUAUGUCGGCAUAGUGUGGUCUCCUCUGCAGGCUGAUAACAACUCUCUUGGCAACUUGAUACAUGUUUGUACCUCAAAAGAUAUUGGUGUUCUUAUAUUUGAAUUACCAUUCCUGUAUUUCUACUAGUAGCAAUAGAAAAAUAUUUGAAUUUUCUUAAUUCAACCACAGAUGUUUUCUUACACAGAAUUCAUUGAUGCAAAGGAUGCAUAUAGCGGAUAUGACUUUUAUUAUUGUUGUGCUUGUUUGCACUUGCUCGUUUUAUUGGCAAAUUCUCACAGAUCUAGGUUAUGUUGGUGAAACUUCUCAGUAAGAAAUAUUUCUUCCUUAUUAAUGACAUCAAGGUAUUUUUAAUACUGUAGCUGAAGCUAUUUGCACGAGCUGUCUUUCUCUAAAAUUAAGUUCCUUUAUCAACAUUGAACCAAAUAAACUAGUAGCCUUUCUUGAUCGAGGCACCUUUCUUACCUCUUGGUUCAUUUUAUGGAAAAUUUGUUGCCUUUCUCAGGUCUUUCAGCUAAGUUGCAAUUUUUUGUCUAGUUGUAUUAACAAUGUCUUUUCUACUUACCAGUCUUUCUAGUUGUAGUAGGAAUUAGUGAUCUCUGAAAGAAAUGGCUAAUGGAAACUGAAUGCAGGUGGGUUAACGUGAGUGGUAGACGAAUGUCCUCUGAUCAGAUGAUUAGUUGAAAGUUUUCAACUUCCUUUUGGUUGGAAGCAGAUACAGAAAAUAUAUUAGUUUGGGUGCCCUUGAUUCGAGGUAGAAGAGGAAGCUGAACAUAGAGCAGGCAGCAAUAAGACUACUUUUCUUGUAUUUUUCUGCAAACAGUACGUGAUACUGCUUCAAAAGAUCAUGUUUUUGGUGCAAAAGAGGCUCUUUCGCUGUCUCCCAAGUAACAAGUCCACUAUCCAUCUUUCCUCCCAUCAACUUUGCAAUCUGUUUAACUUCUCCACUGCUAAAGACCAAAGUUCAGAGCAUAGUUCCAACUUUAUAGUGGUCGACUCCCUUCAUUCAUGUGAACUUUCCUCAGAGAAGGCUGCAAAAAAAGCCAAGUAUCACACCUGUCACAAAAAUUCUUCGAGUCUUUCCAUUGAGUUCUUUAAGCAGAGCGGUUGGAGUGAUGCACAAGUCAUGAAACUUAUCCAGAGGUCACCGCUGUUGCUGCGUACUAAGGUAGAGACUGUCCUGAAGCCCAGAAUGAGAUCUUUGAAGGACAUGGGAUUUUCUGACACUGAAAUAGUUCAGCUGGUUUCUUCAUGUCCAUCUGUACUACUUAUACGUGAUAUCCAACCAAAGAUCAACUUCUGGAGGUCACUACUUUGUUCUAAUGAGAGGUUACUGAAAGCCUCUAGGAGGAACUUGUUUCUACUUACUUCUAGCUUGGCUCGGAAGAUAAAACCUAAUAUAUCUCUCUUAAGGGAAUGUGGCAUCAGUGACAAACUCAUCGCGAAUAUGGUGGUGACAGGGCCAGCCAUUUUGGGUCGAUCAAACAAAUGUAUGAAGGAAGCUAUCAAAUAUGUUGAGGAGUUGGGUGUGCCACGUAACUGUAGAAUGUUCCCUUAUGCACUUAAAAUAGUCGCUGGCAUGAGCCGAUCCAGGUUUGAUGCUACCUUUGCAACCCUGAUGAACUUUGGGUUCUCCCAGUCAGACAUCAUUGAUGUAUUCAGGAAGCAACCAACCGUUUGGGUUUUCUCAAAGAAGAACAUUUGUGACAAGAUGACUUUCCUGAUGAAGGAAGCUGGUUGUGAGCUGACAUAUAUCAUUUCCCAUCCUGCGAUUCUUAUAUACAGCUUGGAGAAGAGGUUGAAACCUCGAUAUGAAAUUCUGAAUUUUCUUGAGCAGAAUAAAUUGCUGGAUAAAGUAAAUGGCCUGAUAACCAUGAUAAUGCUAUCGGAAAAGAAGUUCCGAAAUAAAUUUCUUUUCCUGCUUCGCGAGGAGAAAUAUAUUGCUCUAUAUGAUUCCUAUGUUGCUGCUGUGCAUGGAAAGCGCCAUGUUGUUGUGGAAAAUUAGGAUUGCAAGUGCUUCCUUAGACAAAGUGUGAACCUAUUGCAUACUGACUGUAUUAUUUAAUCAUGUAAAAUUUGUGACAAUUUAAAUUCUCUAAGAGUUACUUCUUACGGUAGAACGUCCAUGUUGAUUUUGAGAUUUCUUUUCUCUUUAUUCUUCGGUACAACAAAAGAUACUGAUUCUUUAAUGCAUAAAUAUAGAGAACCAAGGGGGAGAAGUCAUUAUUUAAGAAAGAAACAAAGGUAACUAAAAUAUUUCAGAUCUGUCGGUUGGUCAGUGUCCACUUCAUUGAGAGCGAGUUAAUUAGGAGAGUAUGAUUUGAAGAUAUCCUCCAACCCUUAUAAAUAUGCAUGUGAUCAACGUGCUCUAUUGUGAGAUUUAUUAUUAUAGUAUCAACUGUCACCUCUCUCUCUGUCUCUCUCUCUCAGCCCGUGACUGCAUGCAUCCCAAUAUUCGUUCUAGUCAUAUCCAGACUCACACAUUAUGAAUUUAAGAGCCAUCGGUCCAACUCAAGCUUGCUUCUUAAUGUUCAAUUUAAUGCACUAAGCAAUAUAUAUGCUUUAAGGUAACAACACUCUCUCGAGUGAAGUGAACGGGCCUCGGCGCCCACCUGAUUCAAAUCAGAGAGGACUAUAUUGGAUCUGAGCCCAACAUAAGUCACUGGAUCUGGUUCGAUGGAACCAAAUGAAGGACUCUCCUCUCUCACACACAACUAUAUCGAUGGCCACGCGUGCAAUGAGAAGACUCGUGGAAACCUAAUCAGCCACCGGCGGCACCGUCUUCCUCUCCAUCGGCGAAUGGCGGCGGCAGCAAUGUCUUCCUCAGCGGGCUCAUCGUUGGUAUCUUUCUCCUCCUCCUCCUCCUCCUUUGCCGUCGCCCACUCUGCCCCAACCGCCUCCCUCCAUCUUCCCGCCCACACAUUCGCCGCCAGCGUCCCCUCUUCUUCGCCUCGUCGUAGCCGUCUUCCCCCUUCCUCCCUGCGCCGGCGUUUUCCCUUCUCCUCCCUACGUCGGCGUCUUCUUUCAUUGUAUCAUCCUUUCACCCCCGCGGCCAGCGUCUUCUCCCCCCUUCGCUUCGCUGCAGCCGCCCCAGCAACCCAACCGACAAAGACAGCCACCUCAACCCACAGCAACCUUCUCCCGUACCUCCUCCUCCCUCUCCUUCUCCUCGGAUCCUUCAUCCUUGCCCCCCUCCCAACUGACAGCAACCCCUUCUUCAUCCUUCUCCUUCUACGUAAAUUGUUUU
Molecule: long non-coding RNA, 12447 nt
Filed under: Musa acuminata (dwarf banana)
Lineage: Eukaryota; Viridiplantae; Streptophyta; Magnoliopsida; Zingiberales; Musaceae
Description: long non-coding RNA (MACU_LNC006296)
Source: RNAcentral